RNAcentral lists this unclassified non-coding RNA (211 nucleotides) under plant metagenome. RNAcentral describes it as "partial contains small subunit ribosomal RNA, internal transcribed spacer 1, and 5.8S ribosomal RNA". The record is from RNAcentral.
UUUCCGUAGGUGAACCUGCGGAAGGAUCAUUCAUAAUAAAGUGUUUUAUGGCACUUUUUAAAAAUCCAUAUCCACCUUGUUUGCACUGUUAGAUCUCGUCAAUCUUGGCGAGAUUUUUAUACAUCAACUCAUUCUUUAACUAAUUUGUCUGAAAAAUAUUAUGAAUACUUAAUUCAAAAUACAACUUUCAACAACGGAUCUCUUGGCUCUC